GGCUUAACACAUGCAAGUCGAGGGGCAGCAUGGUCUUAGCUUGCUAAGGCCGAUGGCGACCGGCGCACGGGUGAGUAACACGUAUCCAACCUGCCGUCUACUCUUGGACAGCCUUCUGAAAGGAAGAUUAAUACAAGAUGGCAUCAUGAGUCCACAUGUUCACAUGAUUAAAGGUAUUCCGGUAGACGAUGGGGAUGCGUUCCAUUAGAUAGUAGGCGGGGUAACGGCCCACCUAGUCUUCGAUGGAUAGGGGUUCUGAGAGGAAGGUCCCCCACAUUGGAACUGAGACACGGUCCAAACUCCUACGGGAGGCAGCAGUGAGGAAUAUUGGUCAAUGGGCGAGAGCCUGAACCAGCCAAGUAGCGUGAAGGAUGACUGCCCUAUGGGUUGCAAACUUCUUUUAUAAAGGAAUAAAGUCGGGUAUGCAUACCCGUUUGCAUGUACUUUAUGAAUAAGGAUCGGCUAACUCCGUGCCAGCAGCCGCGGUAAUACGGAGGAUCCGAGCGUUAUCCGGAUUUAUUGGGUUUAAAGGGAGCGUAGAUGGAUGUUUAAGUCAGUUGUGAAAGUUUGCGGCUCAACCGUAAAAUUGCAGUUGAUACUGGAUAUCUUGAGUGCAGUUGAGGCAGGCGGAAUUCGUGGUGUAGCGGUGAAAUGCUUAGAUAUCACGAAGAACUCCGAUUGCGAAGGCAGCCUGCUAAGCUGCAACUGACAUUGAGGCUCGAAAGUGUGGGUAUCAAACAGGAUUAGAUACCCUGGUAGUCCACACGGUAAACGAUGAAUACUCGCUGUUUGCGAUAUACUGCAAGCGGCCAAGCGAAAGCGUUAAGUAUUCCACCUGGGGAGUACGCCGGCAACGGUGAAACUCAAAGGAAUUGACGGGGGCCCGCACAAGCGGAGGAACAUGUGGUUUAAUUCGAUGAUACGCGAGGAACCUUACCCGGGCUUAAAUUGCAGAUGAAUUACGGUGAAAGCCGUAAGCCGCAAGGCAUCUGUGAAGGUGCUGCAUGGUUGUCGUCAGCUCGUGCCGUGAGGUGUCGGCUUAAGUGCCAUAACGAGCGCAACCCUUGUUGUCAGUUACUAACAGGUUCUGCUGAGGACUCUGACAAGACUGCCAUCGUAAGAUGUGAGGAAGGUGGGGAUGACGUCAAAUCAGCACGGCCCUUACGUCCGGGGCUACACACGUGUUACAAUGGGGGGUACAGAGGGCCGCUACCACGCGAGUGGAUGCCAAUCCCAAAAACCUCUCUCAGUUCGGACUGGAGUCUGCAACCCGACUCCACGAAGCUGGAUUCGCUAGUAAUCGCGCAUCAGCCACGGCGCGGUGAAUACGUUCCCGGGCCUUGUACACACCGCCCGUCAAGCCAUGGGAGCCGGGGGUACCUGAAGUGCGUAACCGCGAGGAGCGCCCUAGGGUAAAACUGGUGACUGGGGCUAAGUC
RNAcentral lists this ribosomal RNA (1438 nucleotides) under uncultured organism. RNAcentral describes it as "SSU rRNA". It matches the Rfam family "Bacterial small subunit ribosomal RNA". The record is from RNAcentral.